AGACCAACAGUAAGAUACAGCAUUUAUGAACUCACCUGCACCAGGAAAUCCACUGGAAUCAACGCCCUUUCACACAGAGGAAGAAACACACGUGUGUGCACACGCAGAGACAAAGAAUACACAAGCAUAAACAAAGAUGGUGCCUACCUGCAGCGACAUUUUGCGAACGGCACAAAGACCAACAGCAAGAUACAGCAUUUAUGAACUCACCUGCAUCAGGAAAUCCACUGGAAUCAACGCCCUUUCACACAGAGGAAGAAACACACGUGUGUGCACACGCAGAGACAAAGAAUACACAAGCAUAAACAAAGAUGGCGCCUACCUGCAGCGACAUUUUGCGAACGGCACAAAGACCAACAGUAAGAUACAGCAUUUAUGAACUCACCUGCAUCAGGAAAUCCACUGGAAUCAACGCCCUUUCACACAGAGGAAGAAACACACGUGUGUGCACACGCAGAGACAAAGAAUACACAAGCAUAAACAAAGAUGGCACCUACCUGCAGCGACAUUUUGCGAACGGCACAAAGACCAACAGUAAGAUACAGCAUUUAUGAACUCACCUGCAUCAGGAAAUCCACUGGAAUCAACGCCCUUUCACACAGAGGAAGAAACACACGUGUGUGCACACUCAGAGACAAAGAAUACACAAGCAUAAACAAAGAUGGCGCCUACCUGCAGCGACAUUUUGCGAACGGCACAAAGACCAACAGUAAGAUACAGCAUUUAUGAACUCACCUGCAUCAGGAAAUCCACUGGAAUCAACGCCCUUUCACACAGAGGAAGAAACACACGUGUGUGCACACGCAGAGACAAAGAAUACACAAGCAUAAACAAAGAUGGCGCCUACCUGCAGCGACAUUUUGCGAACGGCACAAAGACCAACAGUAAGAUACAGCAUUUAUGAACUCACCUGCAUCAGGAAAUCCACUGGAAUCAACGCCGUAAGUAGCGAGCUGCUAAUG
This is a long non-coding RNA of Amblyraja radiata (thorny skate), 962 nucleotides long. RefSeq lists it as uncharacterized. The transcript has 6 exons. NCBI's taxonomy places the organism in Eukaryota, Metazoa, Chordata, Chondrichthyes, Rajiformes, Rajidae. The record is from RefSeq and is a predicted model, not a curated record.